AUUUAAAAAAAAAGUAUAAGAUAUUCAAAACAGAGGAAUUUUAUGAGAAAGAGGGAAAUGGAGGUCAUGGGAAGUAUGAUGGAGAAAGAAGCAGAGAAAAUAGAAAAUAACUCUAAGUAUACAAAAGAACAUUUCUUUUGGAUAAAAGCAGAAAUGGAGAUGUAUGAAAAGGAAAAGUGCAAUAGUGAGGAGCAGAGCACAGUAUGCGGUGGAGGGGGAAAGGUGCACAAAGUAUUUUCUGAAUUUAGAGAAAAAAAACAGAGAAAAAAUUAUAUUACAGAGUUGGAAAAUGAAGAAGGGGAAAAGGUAACAGAUUAUGUAGAAAUAAUAGAAGUAGUAGAAUCAUUUUAUAAGAAACUCUUCAAGAAAGAAAAUGUAAAACAAGAAUGUGUGGAUGAAGUUUUAAAUACUGUAAGUGCUAGUUUAUCUGAUUGUAGAAAGAAAUAAGUGUGAAGGAGACAUAAGUAUCGAAGAAAUAAAAGAAGCAAUAAAACAAACAAAGCCGAAUAAAAGUCCAGGAUCAGAUGGUUUAACGCAUGAGUUUUAUAAGACAUUCAUAGAGAUUUUAGCACCGAUAUUGAUUAGGUUAUUUAGGAGUAUGGAAGAGAGAAGUGAGGUACCAGAAUCAAUGGGUUUGGGGGUAAUUGCUAUUCUGUACAAGAAUAAAGGUAGUCCACUUAGUUUGAACAAUUACAGACCUUUAAGUCUUUUAAACACUGAUUAUAAAAUUCUGACAAAAGUUUUAGCUAAUAGAAUAAAAGGAGUAGUGGGGAGUAUAAUAUCGCCAAAUCAAGCAUACAGUAUACCAGGAAGGGACAUUACAGAUACAAUAUGUACAAUAAGGGAUGUAGUGGUAGUAUGGAUAAAGAUGGGGAAGGGGGUUUGGUUUUAUGCAUGGAUCUAAAUAAAGCCUUUGAUAGGGUAGAGCACGGUUUUAUGGAACAAACAAUGAGGAAAUUUGGAUUUGGGGAGAGGAUUCUGAGGUGGAUACAUCUGCUAUAUAAUAAUGCAAAAAGUUGUGUAAAAGUAAAUGGUGUUUUAACGAAUCCCUUUCCACUAGAAAGAUCAGUGAGGCAGGGAUGUCCGCUGUCUGCGAUGCUGUAUUCAAUGUCAGUUGAGCCGCUGGCAACACUGGUAAAGAGAGAUGGGGAAAUAAGAGGAAUUCCAGUACCACAUGGGGGAUUGAGUUUAAUUCACCAGUACGCAGAUGACACAACAUUUACAGUAAGAGAUAUGGAAAGUAUAAAAAGAAUAAUGAAACAUUUUGAAACAUACGGAAAAGCAUCAGGAGCAAAAAUUAAUAUAGAAAAAUCGGAAAUAAUGAGUAUAGGAGGGGUAGAUAUGAGCGGGUGGGAUACUACUUUUAAAGUCACAAAAGAAUACACAAGGAUUUUAGGAGUGAAUAUAGGAGUAAAUGCAAAAGAAGCAAGAGAUGCUACAUGGACAGGGAUUUUAAAUAAAAUAAAACAAGUAUUACGUUUUUGGAAAUUAAGAGAAUUAAGAUUAAGGGGUAAAGUAAUAGUUGUUAAUUCCUUGCUGCUUACUAAAUGUAAUUAUGUUUUGGGUGCAGUUGACUUGCCAGUUUUGGUGUUAAAUGAGAUGAAGGAGGUUCUGAAUAAUUUUUUAUGGGGAGGGAAAGGGGUUCAAAUAUAAAAAAAAUACAUUCAUAUCAGACUAUAUGGAAUGAGGUUUAAAGUUGAUCGAUUUAGAGGUCAAAAGAAAAGCAAUAAGAGUGAAAAUAAUGAAGAAGUACUUAUAUGAUAAAGUGGAAUAUGGAUGGAAAGGUUUUAUGAGAAACUUUUUGGAUAAAAGUAGUGGAUGCGGAGAAGAAAGGGUAUUCAUGGCCUUAAAGAAGCCAAUGUU
Molecule: long non-coding RNA, 1863 nt
Organism: Sinocyclocheilus grahami
Lineage: Eukaryota; Metazoa; Chordata; Actinopteri; Cypriniformes; Cyprinidae
Exons: 3
Source: RefSeq, a predicted model, not a curated record